This 376-nucleotide unclassified non-coding RNA is filed under the name soil metagenome. Its description in RNAcentral is "partial contains 5.8S ribosomal RNA, internal transcribed spacer 2, and large subunit ribosomal RNA". The stretch from base 1 to 120 matches the Rfam family "5.8S ribosomal RNA", at positions 35 to 154 of the family's 154-position model. The record is from RNAcentral.
GAUGAAGAACGCAGCGAAAUGCGAUAAGUAAUGUGAAUUGCAGAAUUCAGUGAAUCAUCGAAUCUUUGAACGCAUCUUGCGCUCCUUGGUAUUCUGAGGAGCAUGCCUGUUUGAGUGUCAUUAAAUUCUCAACUACACCGACUUUGAAUUGGUGUGGCUUGGAUUUGGGGGGAAAAUUGUUGUGGGCUUUUUGUAUAGUCUGCUCCCCUGAAAUUGAUUAGCGGUACCUUUGUGGAACUGUCUACAGGUGUGAUAAUUAUCUACAUCUUAGACAUCUGCUGGAAUGCUGCUUUCUAAACCUUACUUGUAUUGACAAUCUUGACCUCAAAUCAGGUAGGACUACCCGCUGAACUUAAGCAUAUCAAUAAGCGGAGGA